AGUACCGUGAGGGAAAGGUGAAAAGCACCCCGACGAGGGGAGUGAAAUAGACCUGAAACCGGACACUUACAAACAGACGGAGCCCAAGAUUUGUUCUGGGUGACGUCGUACCUUUUGUAUUAUGGGCCAGCGACUUAAUUUAACGAGCAAGCUUAAGCCGAUAGGCGUAGGCGUAGCGAAAGCGAGUCUGAAUAGGGCGUUUAGUUCGUUGUAUUAGACCCGAAACCUAGUGAUCUAGCCAUGGGCAGGUUGAAGGUGAGGUAACACUCACUGGAGGACCGAACCGGUGUCUGUUGAAAAAGACUCGGAUGACCUGUGGUUAGGGGUGAAAGGCCAAUCAAACUGGGAAAUAGCUGGUUCUCCGCGAAAGAUAUUUAGGUAUCGCCUCGCAUGAAUGCUUCGGGGGGUAGAGCACUGGAUGGCUAGGGGGACUUACCGUCUUACCAAACCCAACCAAACUCCGAAUACCCGAAAGCAAUGUGCGGGAGUCAGACGGCGGGUGCUAACGUCCGUCGUCGAGAGGGAAACAACCCGGACCUACAGCUAAGGCCCCCAAUUCGUGGCUAAGUGGGAAAGGAUNUGGAAAUCCCAAAACAACCAGGAGGUUGGCUUAGAAGCAGCCAU
Molecule: ribosomal RNA, 624 nt
Filed under: uncultured bacterium
Lineage: Bacteria
Description: bacterial LSU rRNA
Rfam family: Bacterial large subunit ribosomal RNA
Source: RNAcentral